Molecule: non-coding RNA, 317 nt
Organism: Vicugna pacos (alpaca)
Lineage: Eukaryota; Metazoa; Chordata; Mammalia; Artiodactyla; Camelidae
Source: RefSeq, a predicted model, not a curated record
GUUGAGGUUGCAGCUUGGUAACAUUAACCCUUAUUUUCAAAGCUCUCGCCUCCAGUCCAUCCACCUGUCCCGAGUCGAUACCACUGUGCUCUGUGUUUGAUUCAGCGGCGGGAUUAAGUGUGCCCCUGGAUGCAGGGGACAGUGGUGAAGAGGCAGUCAAGAUCUUCCACCUUGUAGGAACCUAUCUUUGCUAAGAGAAAUGUUUACAAGGUGGCCGGGCCCCAUGAAUCAAGGGAUUAUUGUGAUGAAGAGGCAGCUGCCAUUGGGCCUGAGUCCAGCGAUGUUUAGGUGGGUUAACCAAGGCCCGCAGCCUCUAU